UCAAGUCAACUGAAGAGCUUGAUCAUCACAUAGAAAAUGAAGAGAGAAUCAAAGUUUCUCAUGAGCACGAAGAAGCAGGUCAAAUACCGAAGCCCUAUGAAAAGGAAGAAUGUGAAAGCGUAGCUUUUCAACAGAGUUUCUCACUAGAUCCUGAGUCCCUCACCUGAGUCAUCGAUCCUUGCCUCUUCACUCAUCACUUGGGCACCAAGUUUUUUCAGCUAGGCCUCUCAGCAACUUAAGUUUACUCACACCUCUCUUACUUAUCAUGCGAGGCGUUGCCUUUAGCGUUAUGGGUUUUUAGCGUGUUUAUGUGGAGUUUAUAGAGCUGUUAAUUUGGUCAAAGUCUUGACUAUGGCAUGUAGGAUCGUAGCUAAAGCUUUUCAUUUGCAGCUAGAAUGUCAUUGUGCAAUGCAGAGGAAAAUACCAUCAUCAUUGUGCAUUGAUUGCUAAUUUUAUUUUGGACACUUGUUAUGCAAGCAAA
Molecule: unclassified non-coding RNA, 481 nt
Filed under: Hevea brasiliensis (rubber tree)
Lineage: Eukaryota; Viridiplantae; Streptophyta; Magnoliopsida; Malpighiales; Euphorbiaceae
Source: RNAcentral